RNAcentral lists this unclassified non-coding RNA (414 nucleotides) under Basidiomycota sp. RNAcentral describes it as "partial contains small subunit ribosomal RNA, internal transcribed spacer 1, and 5.8S ribosomal RNA". The stretch from base 1 to 47 matches the Rfam family "Eukaryotic small subunit ribosomal RNA", at positions 1785 to 1831 of the family's 1831-position model. Lineage: Eukaryota; Fungi; Basidiomycota. The record is from RNAcentral.
AAAGUCGUAACAAGGUUUCCGUAGGUGAACCUGCGGAAGGAUCAUUAACACGUAUCCAACGUUAAACCCCCCGUGAACCUUCAAAGCGCUCUUGGUGCCUUUACGGAACAGCAAUCCUGGUAAAUCAGUGGCGAGAUUCGUUUUUGAUUCAGGACCUCUGUCCAUGGUGCCAAUCGAGCGCAACGUUAGUGGGUCUGGUUACCUGGCCUGGCGGAUGAAAGUGUCGCUGUACGGUUACGAGGUUUAUAGGCAUCAGCGAUCGCUAGAAGGCUCCUCACGAGCCGGCGAACAGACCUGCAGGGCCUCGGCCCCCUCUAUAUCUGACGACCAAGUUAAACCGGGCCUGGUCACAUAGCAAGUGCGCCGUGAUGCAGGUAAAUCGUACAACUGUUAACAAUGGAUAUCUUGGUUCUC